AAGAAGAAUAAAUCGGGGCUGCUAACCUUGAUUAGGGGGUAUUCAACCUCCACUUCUAU
RNAcentral lists this transfer RNA (59 nucleotides) under Philine kinglipini. RNAcentral's name for it is "tRNA-Ser". The record is from RNAcentral. Lineage: Eukaryota; Metazoa; Mollusca; Gastropoda; Cephalaspidea; Philinidae.